This 253-nucleotide ribosomal RNA is filed under the name uncultured bacterium. RNAcentral describes it as "partial 16S ribosomal RNA". It matches the Rfam family "Bacterial small subunit ribosomal RNA", at positions 524 to 776 of the family's 1533-position model. RNAcentral also lists the same sequence under 1 other name. The record is from RNAcentral.
UACGGAGGGUGCAAGCGUUGUCCGGAUUUAUUGGGUUUAAAGGGUGCGUAGGCGGCCUUUUAAGUCAGCGGUGAAAGCCCGGGGCUCAACCCCGGAACUGCCGUUGAUACUGGGAGGCUUGAGUACAGACGAGGUAGGCGGAAUUGAGGGUGUAGCGGUGAAAUGCUUAGAUACCCUCAAGAACACCGAUUGCGUAGGCAGCUUACUAGGCUGUAACUGACGCUGAGGCACGAAAGCGUGGGGAGCGAACAGG